This 254-nucleotide ribosomal RNA is filed under the name uncultured bacterium. RNAcentral describes it as "partial 16S ribosomal RNA". It matches the Rfam family "Bacterial small subunit ribosomal RNA", at positions 524 to 776 of the family's 1533-position model. The record is from RNAcentral.
UACAGAGGUCUCGAGCGUUAGGCGGAAUCACUGGGCUUAAAGCGUGUGUAGGCGGAUCGUUAAGUGCCUUGUGAAAUCCCACGGCUCAACCGUGGAACUGCUUGGCAUACUGGCGGUCUUGAGCAACCUAGGGGCGAGCGGAACAAAUGGUGGAGCGGUGAAAUGCGUAGAUAUCAUUUGGAACGCCAAUGGUGAAAACAGCUCGCUGGGGGUUUGCUGACGCUGAGACUACGAAAGCCAGGGGAGCAAACGGG